Molecule: transfer RNA, 73 nt
Filed under: Acanthocystis turfacea Chlorella virus Canal-1
Lineage: Varidnaviria; Bamfordvirae; Nucleocytoviricota; Megaviricetes; Algavirales; Phycodnaviridae
Description: tRNA-Lys
Rfam family: tRNA
About the family: Transfer RNA (tRNA) molecules are approximately 80 nucleotides in length. Their secondary structure includes four short double-helical elements and three loops (D, anti-codon, and T loops).
Source: RNAcentral
GCCCGGUUAGCUCAGUCGGUAGAGCGCAAGGCUCUUAACCUUGUGGUCGUGGGUUCGAGCCCCACACCUGGCA